This 253-nucleotide ribosomal RNA is filed under the name uncultured bacterium. RNAcentral describes it as "partial 16S ribosomal RNA". It matches the Rfam family "Bacterial small subunit ribosomal RNA", at positions 524 to 776 of the family's 1533-position model. The record is from RNAcentral.
UACAGAGGUGGCAAGCGUUGUUCGGAAUUACUGGGCGUAAAGGGCGCGUAGGUGGCCUUGUUAGUCAGACGUGAAAUCCCCAAGCUUAACUUGGGAACUGCGUCUGAUACUGCAAGGCUUGAGUUCGGGAGAGGGAUGUGGAAUUCCAGGUGUAGCGGUGAAAUGCGUAGAUAUUUGGAGGAACACCGGUGGCGAAGGCGGCAUCCUGGACCGAAACUGACACUGAGGCGCGAAAGCUAGGGGAGCAAACGGG